AGAGUUUGAUCAUGGCUCAGGAUGAACGCUAGCGACAGGCUUAACACAUGCAAGGUCGGGGGGCAGCAUGAUUUGUAGCAAUACAGAUUGAUUGGCGACCGGCGCACGGGUGAGUAACGCGUAUGCAACUUACCUAUCAGGAGGGGGAUAGCCCGGCGAAAGUCGGAUUAAUACCCCAUAAAACAGGGGUCCCGCAUGGGAAUAUUUGUUAAAGAUUCAUCGCUGAUAGAUAGGCAUGCGUUCCAUUAGGCAGUUGGCGGGGUAACGGCCCACCAAACCGACGAUGGAUAGGGGUUCUGAGAGGAAGGUCCCCCACAUUGGUACUGAGACACGGACCAAACUCCUACGGGAGGCAGCA
Molecule: ribosomal RNA, 358 nt
Filed under: uncultured bacterium
Lineage: Bacteria
Description: bacterial SSU rRNA
Rfam family: Bacterial small subunit ribosomal RNA
Source: RNAcentral